This 502-nucleotide ribosomal RNA is filed under the name uncultured bacterium. Its description in RNAcentral is "partial 16S ribosomal RNA". It matches the Rfam family "Bacterial small subunit ribosomal RNA", at positions 30 to 523 of the family's 1533-position model. The record is from RNAcentral.
AUUGAACGCUGGCGGCAUGCCUUACACAUGCAAGUCGAACGGCAGCAUAGGAGCUUGCUCCUGAUGGCGAGUGGCGGACGGGUGAGUAAUAUAUCGGAACGUGCCCUAGAGUGGGGGAUAACUAGUCGAAAGACUAGCUAAUACCGCAUACGAUCUACGGAUGAAAGUGGGGGAUCGCAAGACCUCAUGCUCCUGGAGCGGCCGAUAUCUGAUUAGCUAGUUGGUGGGGUAAAAGCCUACCAAGGCAACGAUCAGGAGCUGGUCUGAGAGGACGACCAGGAAGACUGGGACUGAGACACGGCCCAGACUCCUACGGGAGGCAGCAGUGGGGAAUUUUGGACAAUGGGGGCAACCCGGAUCCAGCAAUGCCGCGUGAGUGAAGAAGGCCUUCGGGUUGUAAAGCUCUUUUGUCAGGGAAGAAACGGUAGUAGCGAAUAACUAUUACUAAUGACGGUACCUGAAGAAUAAGCACCGGCUAACUACGUGCCAGCCGCCGCCGUAA